GACGAACGCUGGCGGCGGGCUUAACACAUGCAAGUCGAACGGAAAGGCCCUGCUUGUGUGGGGUGCUCGAGUGGCGAACGGGUGAGUAACACGUGAGUAACCUGCCCUGGACUUUGUGAUAACUGCAGGAAACUGGUGCUAAUACCUAAUAGGAGCGCCUGCUGCAUGGUGGGGGUUGGAAAUUUUCGUCGGUUGGGGAUGUACUCGGGGCUUAUCAGCUGGUGGGGUGGGGAGUGGCCUACCAAGGCGUUGAUGGGUAGCCGGCCUGAGAGGAUGAUCAGUCACACUGGGACUGGGACGCGCGCCAGACUCCUACGGGAGGCAGCAGGGGGGAAUAGUGGACAAUGGGCGAAAGCCUGAUCCAGCCAUGCCGCGUGUGUGAAGAAGGUCUUCGGAGUGUAAAGCACUGUAAGUUGGGAGGAAGGGCAGUAAGUUAAUACCUGGCUGUUUUGACGUUACCAACAGAAUAAGCACCGGCUAACUUCGUG
This 488-nucleotide ribosomal RNA is filed under the name uncultured bacterium. RNAcentral describes it as "partial 16S ribosomal RNA". It matches the Rfam family "Bacterial small subunit ribosomal RNA", at positions 28 to 507 of the family's 1533-position model. The record is from RNAcentral.